CCUACGGGAGGCAGCAGUGAGGAAUCUUGGUCAAUGGGCGUAAGCCUGAACCAGCCAAGUCGCGUGAGGGAUGAAGGUUCUAUGGAUCGUAAACCUCUUUUAUAAGGGAAUAAAGUGUGGGACGUGUCCUAUUUUGUAUGUACCUUAUGAAUACGGAUCGGCUAACUCCGUGCCAGCAGCCGCGGUAAUACGGAGGAUCCGAGCGUUACCCGGAUUUAUUGGGUUUAAUGGGUGCGUAGGCGGCCUUUUAAGUCAGCGGUGAAAGUCUGUGGCUCAACCAUAGAAUGGCAGUUGAAACUGGGGGGCUUGAGUAUGUUUGAGGCAGGCGGAAUGCGGGGUGUAGCGGUGAAAUGCUUAGAUAUCACGCAGAACCCCGAUUGCGAAGGCAGCCUGACAAGCCAUGACUGACGCUGAUGCACGAAAGCGUGGGGAUCAAACAGGAUUAGAUACCCGUGUAGUC
This 460-nucleotide ribosomal RNA is filed under the name uncultured bacterium. RNAcentral's name for it is "partial 16S ribosomal RNA". It matches the Rfam family "Bacterial small subunit ribosomal RNA", at positions 338 to 795 of the family's 1533-position model. The record is from RNAcentral.